This 415-nucleotide long non-coding RNA is filed under the name Heterocephalus glaber (naked mole-rat). Its description in RNAcentral is "lncRNA (ENSHGLG00000033793.1)". The record is from RNAcentral. Lineage: Eukaryota; Metazoa; Chordata; Mammalia; Rodentia; Bathyergidae.
CUGGCUUGGCUGAUGCUGAUCUUGUGACAGAUGUCUGCAGGGUGUGCUUAGACAGGUGGGGCUUCUACUGUGAAGCAAAAGAAAGACAUUUGAAAAAAAAAUUCCUCAGCUGGGGAUGUACCUCUGUUGUAGAGCGCUUGCCUAGCAUGCAUGAAGCCCUGCACCAGAACAGAGCAAAACAAAACAAAACCUUUUGUAAGUACCUGGGCUGCAGAAAGCAAAGGAACAGAGCCAAAGAUUCCUGCAGAGCCAGACUUCACACUGAGCAGCUGCAGUCGGGGAAAUCAGAGAAAGCGCCAUCCAGCCCCAGAUUCCGAGGGGCCUGCUGGGGACUCUCCUCUUCCUCUGGAGGGAAGACCCCGAGGCUGCUGGCUGGCACCAGCUCCUGGGCUGUAUGGGACUGGCAGCCGUUGCC